AUGAACGCUAGCUACAGGCUUAACACAUGCAAGUCGAGGGGCAGCAUGGUCUUAGCUUGCUAAGGCCGAUGGCGACCGGCGCACGGGUGAGUAACACGUAUCCAACCUGCCGUCUACUCUUGGACAGCCUUCUGAAAGGAAGAUUAAUACAAGAUGGUAUGAUGAGAUUGCAUGAUAGCAUCAUUAAGGAUUUAUCGGUGUACGAUGGGGAUGCGUUCCAUUAGGUAGUAGGCGGGGUAACGGCCCACCUAGCCGACGAUGGAUAGGGGUUCUGAGAGGAAGGUCCCCCACAUUGGAACUGAGACACGGUCCAAACUCCUACGGGAGGCAGCAGUGAGGAAUAUUGGUCAAUGGACGAGAGUCUGAACCAGCCAAGUAGCGUGCAGGAUGACGGCCCUAUGGGUUGUAAACUGCUUUUAUAAGGGAAUAAAGUGAGUCUCGUGAGACUUUUUGCAUGUACCUUAUGAAUAAGGACCGGCUAAUUCCGUG
RNAcentral lists this ribosomal RNA (489 nucleotides) under uncultured bacterium. RNAcentral's name for it is "bacterial SSU rRNA". It matches the Rfam family "Bacterial small subunit ribosomal RNA", at positions 29 to 507 of the family's 1533-position model. The record is from RNAcentral.